Molecule: non-coding RNA, 3450 nt
Organism: Salvia hispanica
Lineage: Eukaryota; Viridiplantae; Streptophyta; Magnoliopsida; Lamiales; Lamiaceae
Source: RefSeq, a predicted model, not a curated record
UGUCUUAAUUUGUUUGUAGUUUUACCAAACGUGUGUGGUUUUCCAUAUCGGAAAUUCCGGCUACUACAUUCGCCACCAAUUUCACCAAAAAUUCUGACUGGUAAAACAAUUGAAAAGAAUUAAAGCUUGGAAUUGUUGCAAUGGCAGAAGCAGGAGUGGCGGUUGCUCUUGAAACCAUCCGUGAUUUGCUAUUGGAAGAGGGAAGGUUUUUAGUUGGUGUGGCCGAUCAAGUCAGGGAGCUCGAGAGGCAGCUCAAAGAGAUGAAGUGUUUCCUCCAAGACGCUGACAAAAGACGACAUCAAAGCAGAACCAUCUCCAAUUGGAUCACCGAGAUCAGAGAUCUUGUCUACAGAUCCGAAUCCGCCAUCGAAAGACACGCAGCUUAUCAAGUUUCUUCAAGGAGAAGAGGCCUCAGGCAGUUCGUCCACAAAUAUUCCUGCAUUUUGAAAGAUUGCAACUCACUCCGCCAAUUAGGCUCCGAGAUUUCACAAAUUACAUCAAGUCUGGAGAGGAUAAGCAAGGAUAUGCAAGAAAACGGCAUAAAAAGAAGCAUACUCAUCAAUCCAAAUGGAGAGGAGGGAAGCUCGGGUGGAAACAACAUGUCAAGGAAGACUUUCCCCAAUUUGGAGAUGGGAGAUUGCUUCGUAGGCAUGGAGGAUGAGCUGAAGCAGCUUGUUCAUCACCUAGGGACAGAUACAGAGCAUCGAAUUAUAUCAGUGUGGGGAAUGGGAGGCUCAGGCAAGACCGCAAUUGCCAAGAAGCUCUACAACGAGACGACCAACUUUGAUCUGUCGGCGUGGGUUUGCAUUACUCAGCAAUGCGAUAGUCAAUCAGUUUGGAAGGAAGUUCUAAGGCAGCUAGAAAAUCCACAGAAGAAGAAAGGUGUUUCAGUCCUGAACGAUGAGCCACGAGUAGUAAGGGCGGAGGUUCCAAAUAUGAGCAACUCAGUAUAUGAUAGACUAUGUGAUAUACAAAGAGAGAAGCGAUGUCUCAUUGUUUUGGACGAUCUUUGGGAACUUUCUCAUUGGGAGGAGUUGAAGCAUCCAUUCAUUGUCCAAAAUCUGCAGAGCAAAAUAUUGGUGACAACACGGACACAAAAGGUUGCAGAGAUUGGAUUGACAGUGAAACAUGGGCUCUUACAUUUGGAUGCUGCUUUGGAACUACUCAAAAACAAAGCAUUUCAGCAUGGAAAUAUUCCAGACUUUGCAUUGGACGAAAGAUUUGAAAAAAUUGGGAAAGAAAUGGUACAAAAAUGUGGCUAUUUGCCAUUGGCAAUUUGUUUACUCGGUGGGGUUUUGAGAGAGAAAAAAUCGAUCGUUGAAUGGGAAUCAGUAAAUGAGCACAUCAAAGCAGCCAUAUAUGGAGAUGAAGAGCAUAUUGACAGAGUGCUAAAUUUAAGCUAUGAAAGUCUACCCUAUUAUUUGAAGCCUUGCUUUCUCUUGAUGGGUAUUUUUAAGGAGGACGAAAUCAUUUCUGCUUGGGAUCUAUAUAAGAUGUGGAUAGCACAAGGCAUGAUUUCAUAUGAGAAUAUUGGAGACAAGGAGGACACUUUAAUGGAUAUCGCUGAGUUGUACUUAAGUGAGUUAGCCUCCAGGUCCAUGGUUCAAGUUGAAUUUAUGUACGAUUAUGAUGCCGCAGGUAGAAAUAGUUCAAAAUAUGAUACAUGCAAACUUCAUGAUGUAGUACGAGAACUAUGCUUGAAAUUGGAAAAAAGGGAGCAUUUUGGAGUGAAGAGUUUGGAGUAUCGAGGUGGGAAACUCAGUACCUUGCUACGGGAAGCUUCCUCACAUGUUAAGAUGCAACAUUUGGCUAUUUAUUUCAGAAAUGAAGUCCAGCACGAGCUUAUAGUCAUUUGUGGAGAAGAUACUAGCGAGCAUAUAAGGUCUAUUCGAUUAUCCAAUGUCGUAGGAUCAGAUGUUGUUGAGUUUCCCCCACAAAGUAUAAUUGAUUUUCAGAAAUUCAAAUUUCUGAGAGAUCUAGUUUUCGUGAGAUUCAAAUUUGCAGGAGGAAAGUUACCAAUAGGAAUCACUAAACUUGUUCACCUUAGACGUUUGCGUUUAGCAAAAUGUGAACUUGAUAAGCUACCGUCAUCCAUGAGGAAUUUGGUAUACUUGGAUACCCUUGAUUUGAGGUAUUCAAUGAAUGUUAAAGUUCCAAAUGUUUUUAAGGAUAUGUUGCGAUUAAAACACUUGAUACUUCCUUUCUAUGGAAAUGAAAAUGCUGGAAGUUAUCGAGUAAGAUUGGAUGAGGGAGUAUAUAAGUUGGAGACUCUACUAUACUUUGAUAGCAGAUGCCAUGAACUUAAAUGUAUGGGCAGAAUGAAGAAUCUCCAAAUAUUUAUAGCUAUAAUACACGAUAAUGAAAGAUUAUCAGCUAUCAUGAAUGCCAUUAUGAACUGGAACAAGAUACGGGAAUGUACUAUUCUCAUUGCAGGAAGUUGCGACUUAACAAAUGAGCGAAUGCUGGAGAAGGCUUUGACAUGUCCCAAUCUUUAUGAAUUGUUUAUUUAUUCAAAAAUAGGGAAGGAGCUGGCAGAGUGUGGGAGUGAUUUGUUGAGCUCGAAACUUAGGUGUUUGGAUCUGAAAUUCUGUGAGAUUGAGGAUGAUCCAAUGGGGAUACUGGGAAAGCUUCCUUGGCUGGCAAAACUGGUAUUACGUCAGAAAUCAUUUGUUGGGGAGGAGAUGACAUGCCCAACAAACAGCUUUCUUCGCCUCAAGAUCCUAGCAUUAAGAGAAUUACCAGCGUUAAGGGAGUGGAGAGUGGAGGCAGGAGCAAUGCCCCUUCUCUCUGAAUUAACGAUCGAAGAGUGUUAUUGCUUGGAGAUGGUUCCAAAGGGAUUAUGUGCCAUUUCUACCCUUCAGACUCUCGUAAUUGAAAGAAUGCCAGAACUGAGUAAAAGGAUAUCACCAUCUGGACAAGAUUUCCAUGAAGUUUGCCAUGUGCCUUCAAUUCUUAUCAAGGACUAGUGGUAUUCCCCCAGGUUGAGCUUUAAUUCUUUGGAGAGUAAUGGAUUAUCACUGCCACUUUUGGUGCUCAAUGAAAACAGUUUACCUUUCUGUAAAGGCCACAUUCCUUGCUAAGGUUUUGUUGCAGCUCAACUCAUUAAAUGUACAAAAUAUGUGGAUGUGCAACUGCUUUGGUUCGAGACGGAUUUUCUGAAGAUUUUGAAGUCCAAUUAGUUCAUAAUGCAUACCAUUCUGUUCGUCUUCGAAAGAACUUCACGUGGAUAUCUUAAACCUCUCAAUCGGAGUUCGGUAAAGGAAGUUGUGGCUGUUUUACAAAGACUGCGAGGAGCAGCGACAAAGCUGGCGACCCGCCGGUACGCAUGUAAACGAACCCGGCGACCCGCCAGUAAAUACACGGGAAAAACGCCGUAGGCAGUUGGCGGCUCGCCAGCUUCGAUGUAAAUGAACGUGGCGACUCGCCAACUUCGACUGAGAGUUUAUUAAA